Molecule: small RNA, 163 nt
Filed under: Chelonoidis abingdonii (Abingdon island giant tortoise)
Lineage: Eukaryota; Metazoa; Chordata; Testudines; Testudinidae
Description: TUC338 (ENSCABG00000011277.1)
Source: RNAcentral
GUGCCAGCACUGGAGACCAAAGUUCCUUUUAGCCACAGGACAGACCAAUGCAGGGCAAGCACCCCACUGCUCUGCCCCACCAAUGUGGGUCAGCCCUGCCCUGUAGGGGUCCAGUUCUGGGCGAGAGGGGAGUUUAGUCUCCAAACAUCAUUCUCUCCUUGCU